UUGGCACAAACAUUUACAGAGCUGAUGUAUUUUACCUGGUGAGUAAAAACAGGAGUGAGUUACUAGAAGAAAAAUAAGCACAGAAGUUGAGAAGAUACUGAAGAAGUAAAGGCUAAAGGCUAAGGGGGUUUGUAACAAAGUCCAGGUAGCAAAUACAAGGAUAGACUCACAGAGAAGUGCAAGCAAGAAAGAAUACAAAAAUAGAUGGGACUGAUCAGCCCUUGAAGAGCCUCUGAAAACCCAGACCUAUAUGAGUGAAUGAAACCUUGAUUUUGACUUAAGAUAAUGAAAGAAUAAAAGAGAAAUAGUAACUCCUUUUAUGCAGAAUGGAUCAGCAUUAGAGCAUGGCCAGGUCCUGUUGUCUCCAUCCUUCCUCCUUAAUCUCCUUCCACUUGAGCUGUACAAACAACAGUCAACACGGUUUUGAGGAAAUCAACAGUAUCUGCCUCUGAAGUCUUUACAGAGCAACUGUCUACAAAUCCAAAGUCUAAUGACUAGAGACCAUUGCAAGGUAAAUGUCUUCAAAUCUUUUUC
This 534-nucleotide long non-coding RNA is filed under the name Capra hircus (goat). RNAcentral's name for it is "lncRNA (ENSCHIG00000000592.1)". The record is from RNAcentral. Lineage: Eukaryota; Metazoa; Chordata; Mammalia; Artiodactyla; Bovidae.